GUUAUUUCAUCAAGAGAAUGUGUACACGCGUUGAGUGCCUUUGCUCAUGAUACGCUUGUGGGCAGCAGCAUCAGUACAGUAGUCUAGUAGCCCUAGAUAACCAGUCACGCCAACAUGACCAAAGAGGCCGAGAUCCCGGAUUUGGUGGGGGCUUAGGAGUUCUAUGGCAAAUAUGACCCCAAUGAGAUCCGGGAAGGACUAUGCAGUCAAGAUCUCGGCUGCAGAGAUCGAGGAGAUCAAAGUGGCCACAGAGAAGGAGAUUGAUAUUCUCAAAAGAAGUCUAUGGAAUGGACAACUUCAGUAAGCAAAAUAACACCAUAAUACAAACAUUAUUGUCCCUUUAAUGGACUUAAGAUACAGUUGAAGUCGGAAGUUUACAUACACUUAGGUUAGAGUCAUUAAA
Oncorhynchus gorbuscha (pink salmon) is the source of this 403-nucleotide long non-coding RNA. RefSeq lists it as uncharacterized. The transcript has 3 exons. NCBI's taxonomy places the organism in Eukaryota, Metazoa, Chordata, Actinopteri, Salmoniformes, Salmonidae. The record is from RefSeq and is a predicted model, not a curated record.